This is a non-coding RNA of Ktedonobacter sp. 13_2_20CM_53_11, 408 nucleotides long. The record is from Rfam. NCBI's taxonomy places the organism in Bacteria, Bacillati, Chloroflexota, Ktedonobacteria, Ktedonobacterales, Ktedonobacteraceae.
UGAGGAAGACAGGCAAUCGCGAGCUGCAAAGCUCGAGGAAAGUCCGAACUCCAGAGAGCAGGAUGCUGGCUAACGGCCAGUGAGGGUGACCUCAAGGAAAGUGCCACAGAAACAUACCGCCCGGUAACAUCAUUACGCCAUAACUUGUUGCCGGGUAAGGGCGAAAUGGUGAGGUAAGAGCUCACCAGCAGUCAGGUGACUGACUGGCUGGGUAAACCCCAUCCGGAGCAAGACCGAACAGGAGGAAUAGCAGGUCCCUUCGCGGACCCGCUUGCAGGUUGCUCGCCUGUUAACCUCCGGGUAGGUCGCUUGAGGCGCCGGGUAACCGGCGUCCUAGAUAGAUGAUUGCCACCUGUGCUGCCGCGAGGCAACACAGGGACAGAAUUCGGCUUAUGGCUUGCUCAAACC